AUUGAACGCUGGCGGCAGGCCUAACACAUGCAAGUCGAGCGGAUGAAGGGAGCUUGCUCCUGGAUUCAGCGGCGGACGGGUGAGUAAUGCCUAGGAAUCUGCCUGGUAGUGGGGGAUAACGUCCGGAAACGGGCGCUAAUACCGCAUACGUCCUGAGGGAGAAAGUGGGGGAUCUUCGGACCUCACGCUAUCAGAUGAGCCUAGGUCGGAUUAGCUAGUUGGUGGGGUAAAGGCCUACCAAGGCGACGAUCCGUAACUGGUCUGAGAGGAUGAUCAGUCACACUGGAACUGAGACACGGUCCAGACUCCUACGGGAGGCAGCAGUGGGGAAUAUUCGACAAUGGGCGAAAGCCUGAUCCAGCCAUGCCGCGUGUGUGAAGAAGGUCUUCGGAUUGUAAAACACUUUAAGUUGGGAAGAAGAACAGUAAAUUAAUACCUUGCUGUUUUGACGUUACCAACAGAAUAAGCACCGGCUAACUUCGUG
Molecule: ribosomal RNA, 484 nt
Filed under: uncultured bacterium
Lineage: Bacteria
Description: partial 16S ribosomal RNA
Rfam family: Bacterial small subunit ribosomal RNA
Source: RNAcentral